CCCUUAGAUGUUCUGGGCGGCCCGCGCACUACAAUGGCGUGUGCAGCGAGUGCCGAAGUAGAGUUUUCCGAGGUAUUCUCGCAAUGCUCGUUUUGAUGGGGAUAGACCCUUGCAACUGUUGGUUUUGAACGAGGAAUUCCUUGUAAGCAUGGUUUAUCAUCCGACGCUGAAUGCGUCCCUGCCCUUUGUACACACCGCCCGUCGCUCCUACCGAUUGAACGGUUUAGUGAGGGCCUCGGAUUGGUCUCGGCCCGCUCUUUACCGGGCGGCGCCGUUGGUCGAGAAGACGCUCGAACUUGAUCGUUUAGAGGAAGUAAAAGUCGUAACA
Molecule: ribosomal RNA, 328 nt
Filed under: uncultured eukaryote
Lineage: Eukaryota
Description: partial 18S ribosomal RNA
Rfam family: Eukaryotic small subunit ribosomal RNA
Source: RNAcentral